This 1930-nucleotide long non-coding RNA is filed under the name Pandoravirus celtis. Its description in RNAcentral is "hypothetical ncRNA". The record is from RNAcentral.
CAUGACCAGUGCGUGGGCUCGGGCGGCCCAUUUGCACGCGAUCGCGCUGCGUCGCCGUCGCCCGUGUUGUCGGUGUCCUUGCCGUCGCCAUCGUCGUUAUUGUUAUUGCUCUCGUCUGCAACACUAUGAUAGCCAGUGCGCUGACCAAAUGCAGGGUCACGCAAGAGACGCAACGUUGACACGUGCCCACCGGCAAAGGCCUUGUCGACGGCCGACGACGAGCGCCACGCGCUGGGUCCAACGUCUGGUCGUCUCGACAGCCAUUCGAGGAUGUGGUUAUGGCCUGCGCCCGCGGCGGCAUCGAUGGCUGCACGGACCAGACCGGCGGACGGGCCAUGCCAAUGCGGUCGCUCCAACAGAUGGUCGAGAAUCGCUGUGUGGCCGGCGGCGGCAGCGGCCUGCACAACGCACUCGCCCAGCCUUACAUAUGGACGACGUCGCAAGACCAAAUCAAUGACGGGCAGGUGGCCGUUACUAGCGGCGGCCGUCAGGAUGCCAUCUAGAUAUGAUUCUGUGGCAUCGUAGAGGACCGAGUCCACCUCGCCAAUCACUUGGACGUGUCCGGCAGCCGCCGCAAAUUCGACAGCGUCGCGGAUGCGCCCCUUUCGGUGCCUGGCGCGCACGAUGUCCGCCGGUUGAUGUCCCGUUGCUGUCGACUGAGGCGCAUGGUUGAUGCAAAAGCGCGCGGCGCCGACGUGGCCGUUGGCGACAGCGGCAAAGGUCAUAUCGUCAAUGUACUCGUCAAAAGUCGCCCGAUGGUGUUUGCGCAGCAUCGAUAAAACUGCCGUAUGGCCGCCGCGGGCCGCGCCGAUAAAGACGCUCAUCGACGGGGUGUAACGCAUCGUUGAUCGCGCCCAAAUGCGCUCAGCGACAUCCAUGCGACCAUGGGCGAGCGCGGCGUCGGCAGCGCGGUGCAGGCCCUCGACGCAAUCGGCCAGACGGUGGUCCAGGAGAAAGAGAACCACAUCAAAGUGCCCGCCGUCGGCGGCGUCCACGAUGGCGCGGCCCGUGCAGCCUUCUGUGCGUUUCUCGUCGAGGUAGGCCACGGCGUCAAGAUGGCCGUUGGCUGCCGCCGCGUCCAUGGCCCGACGGUCGCCCGGUUGGACCGUGGGACAGUCCUCGGUGAGUGUGCGCAGCAUGCCCACGUCACCGUUGGCCGCUGCUGUUGCGAGGGCCAGCGGUGUCGAACCUUCGGUGCGGUGUGCCAGCAGGUAAGCGACAACGUCUCGAUGACCGUUGGCGGCCGCGCGAUUCACCGCACCGACAGAGCAACCCUCGGUGCGAUUCUCGUGCAAGUAGACUACCACGUCAAAGUGCCCAUUGGCCGCUGCAUAGUCCAUGGCCCUGCGGGUGCAACCCUCCCGACGGUUGCGAUGGAGAAAGUCGACCAAAUCGAGGCGCCCGUGGGCGGCCGCACGAUUCAUGGCAUAGGUCGUGCAGCCUCCCUUGCGGUGGCCGUGCAGAAAGAUUGCUAUGUCGAGGUGACCAUCGUCGACGGCGCAGUCCAUGACUCCCGGUGCCGAGUCGAAACCGGGCGCGUCCAACUCGUGUAGGGCGAUGAUCAACCCCAAAUGGCCACGGUGUGCGGCCAAAAAGGGCGCCGACUCAUAGUCGGCCAGGUCCAUGCGGCCGAGCGCCACCAGGCCGCGGACGGCCGUGGCGUUGCCGGUCUCGAGGAGGUCGAGCGGACCCGACCAGCCGCGCGAGGCUACAAUGCGGCGCGCAUAAUCGGCCGGCGAGUAGACGUGCCACAGUCGCGACGCUGCCGCGCACGCGCAAAAGUCGACAUUGUCCAAAAGACCGAGUAUCCGAUCGAUGACUUCGGCGGGCAUGUCCCCAAGGCCCAGCGGCACCUCGGCCGUACUCUCCAUUUUUUUCCUUUUGUACUUUUUUGCCCUCUUACUUUGUCUUUUUCUCUUUCUUUUUUACC